RNAcentral lists this signal recognition particle RNA (97 nucleotides) under Deltaproteobacteria bacterium. RNAcentral's name for it is "signal recognition particle sRNA small type". It matches the Rfam family "Bacterial small signal recognition particle RNA". From Rfam's summary of the family: The signal recognition particle (SRP) is a universally conserved ribonucleoprotein involved in the co-translational targeting of proteins to membranes. Archaeal SRP consists of a 7S RNA and homologues of the eukaryotic SRP19 and SRP54 proteins. Lineage: Bacteria; Pseudomonadati; Myxococcota; Myxococcia. The record is from RNAcentral.
AAGCCGGGGCCGCGCAAUCGACGAUUUCGAAUNGUGUCAGAUCCUAGCGGAAGCAGCACUAAGAUUUCCUAGAUGUGCCGCGUCACCCCGGUCAUCC